AGUGAACGCUGGCGGUAGGCCUAACACAUGCAAGUCGAACGGCAGCACAGUAAGAGCUUGCUCUUACGGGUGGCGAGUGGCGGACGGGUGAGGUAUACAUCGGAAUCUACUUUUUCGUGGGGGAUAACGUAGGGAAACUUACGCUAAUACCGCAUACGACCUACGGGUGAAAGCAGUGGAUCUUCGGACCUUGCGCGAUUGAAUGAGCCGAUGUCGGAUUAGCUAGUUGGCGGGGUAAAGGCCCACCAAGGCGACGAUCCGUAGCUGGUCUGAGAGGAUGAUCAGCCCCACUGGAACUGAGACACGCUCCAGACUCCUACGGGAGGCAGCGGUGGGGAAUAUUGGACAAUGGGCGCAAGCCUGAUCCAGCCAUACCGCGUGGGUGAAGAAGGCCUUCGGGUUGUAAAGCCCUUUUGUUGGGAAAGAAAAGCAGCAGGUUAAUACCCCGCUGUUCUGACGGUACCCAAAGAAUAAGCACCGGCUAACUUCGUG
This 492-nucleotide ribosomal RNA is filed under the name uncultured bacterium. RNAcentral's name for it is "partial 16S ribosomal RNA". It matches the Rfam family "Bacterial small subunit ribosomal RNA", at positions 29 to 507 of the family's 1533-position model. The record is from RNAcentral.